RNAcentral lists this ribosomal RNA (483 nucleotides) under uncultured bacterium. Its description in RNAcentral is "partial 16S ribosomal RNA". It matches the Rfam family "Bacterial small subunit ribosomal RNA", at positions 28 to 507 of the family's 1533-position model. The record is from RNAcentral.
GACGAACGCUGGCGGCGCGCCUAACACAUGCGAGUCGAGCGGGGAUUUAAGUGGAAGUUCUUCGGAAUGGAGAUUUAAAUUCUAGCGGCGGACGGGUGAGUAACGCGUGAACAAUCUGUCCCGGACAGGGGGAUAACACUUGGAAACAGGUGCUAAUACCGCAUAAGACCACGGCCUCGCAUGGGGCUGAGGUAAAAGGAGCAAUCCGGUUCGGGGUGAGUUCGCGUCCGAUUAGCUAGUUGGUGAGGUAACGGCCCACCAAGGCGACGAUCGGUAGCCGGCCUGAGAGGGUGAACGGCCACAUUGGAACUGAGAGACGGUCCAAACUCCUACGGGAGGCAGCAGUGGGGAAUAUUGGGCAAUGGGCGAAGGCCUGACCCAGCAACGCCGCGUGAGGGAAGAAGGUUUUCGGAUUGUAAACCUCUGUCCUAUGGGACGAAGGAAGUGACGGUACCAUAGGAGGAAGCCCCGGCUAACUACGUG